CCUACGGGAGGCAGCAGUGAGGAAUAUUGGUCAAUGGACGAGAGUCUGAACCAGCCAAGUAGCGUGAAGGAUGACUGCCCUAUGGGUUGUAAACUUCUUUUAUAUGGGAAUAAAACGUUCCACGUGUGGGAUUUUGUAUGUACCAUAUGAAUAAGGAUCGGCUAACUCCGUGCCAGCAGCCGCGGUAAUACGGAGGAUCCGAGCGUUAGACGGAUUUAUUGGGUUUAAAGGGAGCGUAGGUGGAUUGUUAAGUCAGUUGUGAAAGUUUGCGGAUCAACCGUAAAAUUGCAGUUGAAACUGGAAGUCUUGAGUACAGUAGAGGUGGGCGGAAUUCGUGGUGUAGCGGUGAAAUGCUUAGAUAUCACGAAGAACUCCGAUUGCGAAGGCAGCUCACUGGACUGCAACUGACACUGAGGCUCGAAAGUGUGGGUAUCAAACAGGAUUAGAUACCCCAGUAGUC
Molecule: ribosomal RNA, 460 nt
Filed under: uncultured bacterium
Lineage: Bacteria
Description: partial 16S ribosomal RNA
Rfam family: Bacterial small subunit ribosomal RNA
Source: RNAcentral